UACGUAGGGUGCAAGCGUUGUCCGGAAUUAUUGGGCGUAAAGCGCUCGCAGGUGGUUCGUCGCGUCGUGCGUGAAAGACCCCGGCUCAACUGGGGGAGGUCGUGCGAUACGGGCGGACUGGAGGCCAGUAGGGGGAUGCGGAAUUCCGGGUGUAGUGGUGGAAUGCGUAGAGAUCCGGAGGAACACCAGCGGCGAAGGCGGCAUCCUGGACUGGUCCUGACACUCAUGAGCGAAAGCGUGGGGAGCGAUCCGG
This 253-nucleotide ribosomal RNA is filed under the name uncultured bacterium. RNAcentral's name for it is "partial 16S ribosomal RNA". It matches the Rfam family "Bacterial small subunit ribosomal RNA", at positions 524 to 776 of the family's 1533-position model. The record is from RNAcentral.